This 619-nucleotide ribosomal RNA is filed under the name Turbo argyrostomus. RNAcentral's name for it is "partial 12S ribosomal RNA". The stretch from base 220 to 619 matches the Rfam family "Bacterial small subunit ribosomal RNA", at positions 874 to 1384 of the family's 1533-position model. Lineage: Eukaryota; Metazoa; Mollusca; Gastropoda; Trochida; Turbinidae. The record is from RNAcentral.
GACAAACUAGGUCAAAUUAAGAUUUACACAGUAAAAAAGGGGGUUAGAGAAUAAAACCUAUAUGUAAAAGAAAAAUUAGGUUUUUUAUAGAAGUGGAAUUUGUAUAAAAAAAUUAAUUUAUUAUUUUCUUGUUUCUUGAAGCUCCGAAAUCUCAUUUAAAGACCGGGAUUAGAUACCCCGUUAUUUGAGCUAUAAAAUUUAAUUUAAUCAAAAUUUACUUGAGUAUUACGGGUUCUAUAAACUUAAAGUUUAUUUGGAUAGUCUAAAACUCAAAAGACUUGGCGGUGCCUUAAAUCCUUUCAGGGGAACCUGUCCUGUAAUCGAUAAUCCACGGUUUACCUUUCCUUUUUUUGAAUAUAUUAAUAAUCAGUCUGUAUACCGUCGUCGUCAGAUUACCUUUAAAAGUAAAAAAGUUAUCAGAAAGAUCAAUAUAGCUAUAGAAUAUCAUGUUAGUUAUAUUUUCUAGACGUCAGAUCAAGGUGCAACUUAUAAAAAGGAAGAGAUGGGUUACAAUAAUAAAUUAUUAUACGAAUUUUUUGUUGCAAAACAAAUUUAAAGGCGGACUUGAAAGUAAUAGAAAGAAAUAGAGAGUCUUAAUGAAGGUGGCUCUAAGGCGUGU